Molecule: long non-coding RNA, 1196 nt
Filed under: Homo sapiens (human)
Lineage: Eukaryota; Metazoa; Chordata; Mammalia; Primates; Hominidae
Description: long intergenic non-protein coding RNA 629
Source: RNAcentral
GAGACGAAUAGCGAGGGCUCGGGGAGAAAAAACGGAGGAUGGCAAACGGCAAAGCCAAGGGCACGAGGUAGCGCAGCGCGCACCCAGAGGCUCCUGGGACGGACACCACCCCACGCUCACGGGUCCUCUGGCGGUGUCCUUUGAGCUGCCGGGACGGCGCAAGGUGGCUGAGCGAAGCUUUUUGCUCGCUGCCAUGUUAUGAGGACACUUGGAGAAAGCUACAGGAGAGGAACUGAGGUCUCCUGCCAUCAGCCACUUGAGUGAGCAUGGGAGUGGAUUCUCCAAACUCCAGUUAAGACUUGAGAUGUCCACAGUGGCAGCCACUAGCUUGACUGCAACUUACGAGAGACCCUGAGCCAGAGGCACUCAGUUAAGUCAUACACAGUUUCCUGACCCGUAAAACCUGUGACACAAUGAAGGUUUGUUGUUUUGGGGGUAAUCCGUUAUUCAGCAAUAGAUAACGAAUACAGAAGGCUUGUAAUUGUAUAACCAACGUGAGUUUAUAAGCGGAUAUCUGACCUCAUUUGUUUUCUCCUGAAAAAGUUAUAGAAAAAUCACAAGACUGCAAGUCACUCUCUCUCUUUCUUUUGUGGGGAAUAAACAAGUAUAAUUACAAUUUCUAAACCUAUUGUUUUAUUCUCAAAUAUAAUUACAAUUUAAACAGGAUAUUGUAGAGCUCCAUCAUAGGGAUUAACACUAAUUAGAAUUAAAGAACGUUUUUGUGAAAGUCAGCUUUUUUUUUUUAAAUAAACACUCGUCCCUUGAUAAUGUAUUUCUUUUUCAUAAAAUUAAAAAAAAAAUGUGGGUUGUAGUAGGUGUAUAUAUUUAUGUGGUACAUGAGAUGUUUUGAUACAGGCAUGACGUGUAAUAAUCACAUCAUGGAAGAUGGCGUAUCCAUCCCCUCAAGCAUUUAUCCUUUGUGUUACAAACAAUCCAGUUACACUCUUUUUGUUAUUUAAAAAUGUACAAUUAAAUUAUUAUUGGCUAUAGUCACCCUGUUGUGCUAUCAAAUAUUAGGUCUUAUUCAUUCAUUUAACUAUUUUUUUGUACCUAUUUAUCAUCCCCAUCCCCGGUUCCCUCCCACCACCCACCCCACUACCCUUCCCGGCCUCUGGUAACCAUCCUUCUACUCUCUAGCUCCAUGAGCUCCAUUGUUUUGAUUUUUAGCUCCCACAAAUAAAUGAGAACAUGUAAUG